RNAcentral lists this ribosomal RNA (850 nucleotides) under Parmeliopsis hyperopta. Its description in RNAcentral is "eukaryotic LSU rRNA". It matches the Rfam family "Eukaryotic large subunit ribosomal RNA", at positions 71 to 936 of the family's 3401-position model. Lineage: Eukaryota; Fungi; Ascomycota; Lecanoromycetes; Lecanorales; Parmeliaceae. The record is from RNAcentral.
GGGAUUGCCUCAGUAACGGCGAGUGAAGCGGCAACAGCUCAAAUUUGAAAUCUGGCUCCUUCGGGGUCCGAGUUGUAAUUUGUAGAGAGUGCUUCGGGUGAGACCGCGGUCUAAGUCCAUUGGAACAUGGCGUCAUAGAGGGUGAGAAUCCCGUAUGUGACUGCGGCGCGAGCCCAUGUGAAGCCUCUUCGACGAGUCGAGUUGUUUGGGAAUGCAGCUCAAAAUGGGUGGUAAAUUUCAUCUAAAGCUAAAUACUGGCUGGAGACCGAUAGCGCACAAGUAGAGUGAUCGAAAGAUGAAAAGCACUUUGGAAAGAGAGUCAAACAGUACGUGAAAUUGUUGAAAGGGAAGCGCUUGCAACCAGACCUGUCCGUGGGCGAUCAGCCGCUGUUCUCAGUGGUGCACUCGUUCCGCGAUCAGGCCAGCAUCGGUUCUGGCGGUUGGAUAAAGGCCUUGGGAAUGUAGCUUCCUUUCGGGGGAGUCUUAUAGCCCUCGGUGCAAUGCGGCCAGCCGGGACCGAGGACCGCGCUUCGGCUAGGAUGCUGGCGUAAUGGUUGUAAGCGACCCGUCUUGAAACACGGACCAAGGAGUCUAACAUCUAUGCGAGUGUUUGGGUGUCAAACCCAUGCGCGGAAUGAAAGUGAACGGAGGUGAGAACCCUUUAGGGCGCAUCAUCGACCGAUCCAGAUGUCUUCGGAUGGAUUUGAGUAUGAGCAUAGCUGUUGGGACCCGAAAGAUGGUGAACUAUGCCUGAAUAGGGUGAAGCCAGAGGAAACUCUGGUGGAGGCUCGCAGCGGUUCUGACGUGCAAAUCGAUCGUCAAAUUUGGGUAUAGGGGCGAAAGACUAAUC